AGCCAUGUGGUGAACACAAAGCGAACUAUUCUUUUACUAAAGAAUACCGUGUAUUCGUCCAUCGUCAUGCUAUGAUGGCAUAAUUUAAUUUUUGUUGGGUUUAGUUUUUUAAGUUG
This 116-nucleotide small nuclear RNA is filed under the name Zostera marina. Its description in RNAcentral is "U5 spliceosomal RNA". It matches the Rfam family "U5 spliceosomal RNA". Rfam says of the family: U5 RNA is a component of both types of known spliceosome. The precise function of this molecule is unknown, though it is known that the 5' loop is required for splice site selection and p220 binding, and that both the 3' stem-loop and the Sm site are important for Sm protein binding and cap methylation. The record is from Rfam by way of RNAcentral. Lineage: Eukaryota; Viridiplantae; Streptophyta; Magnoliopsida; Alismatales; Zosteraceae.